RNAcentral lists this ribosomal RNA (804 nucleotides) under uncultured Bacteroidota bacterium. RNAcentral's name for it is "bacterial SSU rRNA". It matches the Rfam family "Bacterial small subunit ribosomal RNA", at positions 62 to 859 of the family's 1533-position model. The record is from RNAcentral. Lineage: Bacteria; Pseudomonadati; Bacteroidota.
UUGAGGGGCAGCAUGAAUAAUAGCAAUAUUAUUUGAUGGCGACCAGCGCACGGGUGCGUAACACGUAUGCAAUCUACCUCGUACAUGGGCAUAACUCCGAGAAAUCGGUGCUAAUUCCCAAUGACACUAUUGAAGUGGCAUCACUUUAUAGUUAAAGUUCCGGCGGUACGAGAUGAGCAUGCGCCCAAUUAGCUAGUUGGUGAGGUAAUGGCUCACCAAGGCUACGAUUGGUAGGGGUUCUGAGAGGAUGAUCCCCCACACUGGUACUGAGACACGGACCAGACUCCUACGGGAGGCAGCAGUGAGGAAUAUUGCGCAAUGGACGAAAGUCUGACGCAGCCAUGCCGCGUGAAGGAUGAAUGCCCUAUGGGUUGUAAACUUCUUUUGUACGGGAAAAAACCCUUCUACGUGUAGAGGGCUGAUGGUACCGUAAGAAUAAGCACCGGCUAACUCCGUGCCAGCAGCCGCGGUAAUACGGAGGGUGCAAGCGUUAUCCGGAUUUAUUGGGUUUAAAGGGUCCGUAGGCGGGCCGAUAAGUCAGUGGUGAAAGCCCAUAGCUCAACUAUGGAACUGCCAUUGAUACUGUCGGUCUUGAGUACAAGUGAGGUUGGCGGAAUGUGUGGUGUAGCGGUGAAAUGCUUAGAUAUCACACAGAACACCGAUUGCGAAGGCAGCUGGCCAACUUGUAACUGACGCUGAGGGACGAAAGUGUGGGGAUCAAACAGGAUUAGAUACCCUGGUAGUCCACACCGUAAACGAUGAUUACUAGAUUUUGGCCUUAUGGUCAGAGUCCAAGCGAAAGUG